AACCUAGCACACCUGCGGUGUGUACCUGCGGAAGGAUCAUUAUCGAGUUGCAAAACUCCAACCCUUUGUGAACAUACCUCAGUCGUUGCUUCGGCGGUGGACGGCCUGUUUUUCGGAACGGCCGGAAGCCGCCGGAGGUUCCAAACUCGUAUUUUUUAGUGUAUCUCUGAGCCUGAAAACAAAUAAUCAAAACUUUCAACAAUGGAUCU
RNAcentral lists this unclassified non-coding RNA (209 nucleotides) under soil metagenome. RNAcentral describes it as "partial contains 5.8S ribosomal RNA, internal transcribed spacer 2, and large subunit ribosomal RNA". The record is from RNAcentral.